Long non-coding RNA from Lolium rigidum, 760 nucleotides. RefSeq lists it as uncharacterized. NCBI's taxonomy places the organism in Eukaryota, Viridiplantae, Streptophyta, Magnoliopsida, Poales, Poaceae. The transcript has 3 exons. The record is from RefSeq and is a predicted model, not a curated record.
GCCGGAUUCGCUCCGCGCCGCCGCCAAUCCAGGCCGGCUGCUGCUGUCCCAACCUCGAGGCGACGACGACGGCCGGCGGUCUGCAUUUACGAAGUUGAUGGUUCCAGUCGAGAGCCUACAAGAUUUAUCCACAAGGCUACACAAGCUAGAUUGAUGCACUGAGCUUGCUUCUCGUGUAAUUACCAUAGGCGGCGUAGGGGAGCAGUUGAUGUUGUCAAUGAAUGGAUAUCACCUAAAGUAAGUGAAGAGGAAGAUAAGGCAAUGGGCCACACCAGCUGCAUUACUUUCUGAAGAAAUGUAGACUAUCACAAGGCACGUGAGCAGCAGCAGAACGAGGAGUAGCGGGAGCAGAGGAGGACCAGGGAUGAGGUCAAGCUUCGGUGACACUUGGGUGGCGGCUCCGCCGGUUUUUGGUCACCGGGGAGCUCGGGCCUAGCCGGCCAGCAGCACGCGCGGAGCAGAGAGCAGCCGGCUUGGGCGCGGCGCAUGUGGAGCAAAGAGCAGUUGCGGGCGAGGUCGAUCACGACGGGGGCGAUGGUGAUCCCAGAUCGAUCGAUCGAUGUGUUUGUUGAUCGAUCCCUAGACGGGUACAACGGCGACCUGAUUGCUCAACGGCUGAAGGCGGAGACGGGAAGACUGGAGCUUGAAAUUCAGAUUGAGAAAACUAUUUCGAAGCGUUUUCAGUGUUUUGGUACUUUUUUGCAAAAAAACUAAUUUGUACUGUGGCUCCGACAAUUUCCUUGGGACGGAGGGAGUAAUC